RNAcentral lists this long non-coding RNA (385 nucleotides) under Scleropages formosus (Asian bonytongue). RNAcentral describes it as "lncRNA (ENSSFOG00015031438.1)". Lineage: Eukaryota; Metazoa; Chordata; Actinopteri; Osteoglossiformes; Osteoglossidae. The record is from RNAcentral.
CAGAGGGAAGCUGUGACAGGUGACCUUGGAGUCAGGUGAGUGUCUUUGUGACCGUGAGCUACGCCACGACGCACUCCACCUGCUGCCGAGGACCACAAAACGGAGAUACUGGCGCCCGCAUCCGAGGCGACCGCGGCAAGGACGGCGCUCGGCGCACAGAUGGGGGUUCACGGCUCCGGCGGAUGGGCGUUCGAAACCCUGACAGCCCUGGACGGCUCGUGGACACCCGCACCCUCCCCGUCCGCCUCCUGCCUUUGCAGACCUCUGACGUCCACCUGAGUGCCGGGAGCAGAGCGGGAAAGGCCCGUUGGCCACAGCCUCCCAAGUGACGCAGGUCGACUCAAGCGGUACAGAUGGCUGCCCGCACCCGCGUGUCUGCGAGUUU